AGAGUUUGAUCCUGGCUCAGGACGAACGCUGGCGGCGUGCUUAACACAUGCAAGUCGAGCGAUGAAGUUUCUUCGGAAAUGGAUUAGCGGCGAACGGGUGAGUAACACGUGAGGAAUCUGCCCUUCACUUUGGAAUAACUCCGGGAAACCGGAGCUAAUACCGGAUACGAACUCUGGCGGCAUCGCCGGAGUUGGAAAGUUUUUCGGUGAAGGAUGACCUCGCGGCCUAUCAGCUUGUUGGUGAGGUAAUGGCUCACCAAGGCGACGACGGGUAGCCGGCCUGAGAGGGCGACCGGCCACACUGGGACUGAGACACGGCCCAGACUCCUACGGGAGGCAGCAGUGGGGAAUAUUGGGCAAUGGGCGAAAGCCUGACCCAGCGACGCCGCGUGCGGGAUGAAGGCCUUCGGGUUGUAAACCGCUUUCAGCAGGGAAGAAGCGAAAGUGACGGUACCUGAAGAAGAAGCACCGGCUAACUAUGUGCCAGCAGCCGCGGUAAUACAUAGGGUGCAAGCGUUGUCCGGAAUUAUUGGGCGUAAAGAGCUCGUAGGUGGUUCGUUACGUCGGAUGUGAAAACCUGAGGCUCAACCUCAGGCCUGCAUUCGAUACGGGCGAGCUUGAGUGUGGUAGGGGAGGCUGGAAUUCCUGGUGUAGCGGUGGAAUGCGCAGAUAUCAGGAGGAACACCAAUGGCGAAGGCAGGCCUCUGGGCCACUACUGACACUGAGG
RNAcentral lists this ribosomal RNA (727 nucleotides) under uncultured Actinomycetes bacterium. RNAcentral's name for it is "bacterial SSU rRNA". It matches the Rfam family "Bacterial small subunit ribosomal RNA", at positions 8 to 751 of the family's 1533-position model. Lineage: Bacteria; Bacillati; Actinomycetota; Actinomycetes. The record is from RNAcentral.